GGCUGUUAACCGCUUGGUCGGGGGUUCGAGUCCCUCCUCCUGAGCCAUUUUCUUACUAUCUAUUAAAAUUAACUAU
Molecule: transfer RNA, 76 nt
Filed under: Pseudobdellovibrio exovorus JSS
Lineage: Bacteria; Pseudomonadati; Bdellovibrionota; Bdellovibrionia; Bdellovibrionales; Pseudobdellovibrionaceae
Description: Bdellovibrio exovorus JSS tRNA-Asn
Source: RNAcentral